GAUGAACGCUAGCGGCAGGCUUAAUACAUGCAAGUCGAGGGGCAUCGGGGUAGCAGUACUGCCGGCGACCGGCAAACGGGUGCGGAACACGUACAGAACUUUCCUUUAAGCGGGGGAUAGCCCAUAGAAAUGUGGAUUAAUACCCCAUAGUAUUAUUGAUUGGCAUCAGUUAAUAAUUAAAGAUUUAUCACUUAAAGAUGGCUGUGCGUCUGAUUAGGUAGUUGGUAGGGGUAACGGCCCACCAAGCCAUCGAUCAGUAACUGGUGUGAGAGCACGACCAGUCACACGGGCACUGAGACACGGGCCCGACUCCUACGGGAGGCAGCAGUAAGGAAUAUUGGUCAAUGGACGCAAGUCUGAACCAGCCAUGCCGCGUGAAGGAUGAAGGCCCUCUGGGUUGUAAACUUCUUUUAUCUGGGAAGAAAUGCCUGUUUUUCAAUGGGUUUGACGGUACCAGAGGAAUAAGCACCGGCUAACUCCGUGCCAGCAGCCGCGGUAAUACGGAGGGUGCAAGCGUUAUCCGGAUUCACUGGGUUUAAAGGGUGCGUAGGUGGGUUUGUAAGUCAGUGGUGAAAUCUCCGUGCUUAACAUGGAAACUGCCAUUGAUACUACUGAUCUUGAAUUUUCUGGAGGUAAGCGGAAUAUGUCAUGUAGCGGUGAAAUGCUUAGAUAUGACAUAGAACACCAAUUGCGAAGGCAGCUUACUACAGGGAUAUUGACACUGAGGCACGAAAGCGUGGGGAUCAAACAGGAUUAGAUACCCUGGUAGUCCACGCCCUAAACGAUGGAUACUCGACAUUUGCGAUACACAGUAAGUGUCUGAGCGAAAGCAUUAAGUAUCCCACCUGGGAAGUACGAC
RNAcentral lists this ribosomal RNA (859 nucleotides) under uncultured bacterium. Its description in RNAcentral is "bacterial SSU rRNA". It matches the Rfam family "Bacterial small subunit ribosomal RNA", at positions 28 to 886 of the family's 1533-position model. The record is from RNAcentral.